RNAcentral lists this long non-coding RNA (571 nucleotides) under Ananas comosus (pineapple). RNAcentral's name for it is "long non-coding RNA (ACOM_LNC035059)". Lineage: Eukaryota; Viridiplantae; Streptophyta; Magnoliopsida; Poales; Bromeliaceae. The record is from RNAcentral.
UUGAAAAGGUGGAUUUAUGGAUUUUGUAAAAUAAAAGAUUUUCUACCCCUCGUGGUAGCGUUUUUAAAAGAAUAAAGGUUUCUGUGUAGGAAACAGUUUUCAAAAGAUUUUUGUGGAUUUCUGUUUAAACCUUGAAUGUAAAACUGUGAUGUGAAUGGUGAAUGUAUGAAUGUAUAAUUAUCUUUAUAUUCAUCUGGUUGUGGUUGUAUCCUGGUUGUACUGUGUAUUUGGUCGACGUCGUGCAAAUACAGGGGAGACUCUGUCCGUGUGAACAGUGGAUUCCCUGUAUUUGUGGCGGAUCUGGCAUACUCUGGGGUCAGGUUUUCAAAAAAAAAAAAAAAACUCAGACGCUUUUCCGCUUUGUUUUAAACUGAAAAGGGACCCCGGGGCGUGACAAUUUGAUUGUGGUUGUUUACUGUUUGUACUUUUGUACUUGUGUGACGCCGUGCAAGUAUAGGGGAGACUCUGUCCGUGUGAACAGUGGAUUCCCUGUAUUUGUGGCGGAUCUGGCAUACUCUGGGGUCAGGUUUUCAAAAAAAAAAAAAAAUUCAAACGCUUUUCCGCUGUGUUU